This is an RNA transcript of Xiphias gladius (swordfish), 2484 nucleotides long. RefSeq lists it as uncharacterized. NCBI's taxonomy places the organism in Eukaryota, Metazoa, Chordata, Actinopteri, Istiophoriformes, Xiphiidae. The transcript is spliced from 3 exons. The record is from RefSeq and is a predicted model, not a curated record.
GAGCAGAGGAGUUUUCUUCGAGGUCGCCAGACAGACCAGAUUAAUGGGGAGGAUUUAAGUCUCUAGUCCGCAAUCUGGAGCAGAAGGUGGCGUUCACGUACCACCUGCGCUGUUCGCCAACCGCUGUUAGAAGAAGAAGAAGAAGAAGAAGAGGGAGGAGGAGACGAAGAAGAAACUGCAGCGGCUAUGCUAACGUAGCCUGUGUAGACAUAUAAAAUUACUGUUUUACUGCUACAGUCGUGAAUGAACUGUCGCCAUUUUUACAUUUCACAGUUUAGCCUGUUUUCUGUUGGACACUGUAACGAUGCCGUGGAGGUGCUGCGUUCCUGGAUGUAAAGGCUACGAUGAGGCGAAGUCAAUGGGCGUCGUGUUUCACGGAUUACCGACCAGAGACCCGCAGCGCUGCAGAACGUGGCUCACGGCGAUCCAGAACCCCAGGUACGACGAGAACACACCGGUGUCCAAGUACAGCGGCGUUAGGGUCUGCAGCCUACACUUCAAACCUGAGGACUACGAGGAGGACUUCCGGGCUAAAAUACUCAACAUCACGCCCAAGCCGACGUUGAAGAGCGGCGCUGUGCCGUCAGUGUUCCCCGGGAGAGAGCAGGGUGAGCCCGUCGGGACGGAUCCGUCUCCCCCGGCUCCAAAGAGAGCCAGGACUCAGCCAACCUGCGGAGCCGCAGGCAGCUCCUCACAGUCACCUCCAGCGGCCGCGUCAGAUGAAAGCUUCUGCAUCGUGGUGUCAGUCGACCCCCUGGACGACAGCAGCUUCCACUCAAAGCGAGAGUUCAGCUCAAUAACAACGUCUGAUGAGUCUGACGAGGACAUCGACAAAGACUGUACAAUUGUUUACAACCAUAACCUGAUGGAGCUAUUCAGAAUGUGUCAGACGUGUGGCCAGCCCAUAGUGGAGAAGGAGGUUUUCCACUCAGGAGCGCAGAUGAGGGUGAAGUGGAGCUGUCACGGUGGACACUCUGGUAUGUGGAAGUCCUCGCCUCACCUGAGAGACGUGCUGCCGUGAAUUCCGCCUGCUGCCCGCUGCUUCUACUCAGUGGUAGAACGUUUCCAGAGCGUGAGGAGUGUUAAGCUCACGGGGACACAAACACGUUCGAAGCCGAAUAAGCCUGUGUACGAGACACUGAGCAGGAGGGGGCGGGGGGUUACCGGCUGAAAUUAUCAGCCAGCAGCUGGAGGACAUGUUGAACCACAUCUCAGGUGACGGACACUGCGGUUCACCAGGGUUCAAACCGCCACUACACCUUCAUGUUGGACUCCACAAAGGAAUCAGUCCAAACUGGCGCAGGUGACAGAGUCCGACAGUUCUGUUGCCGUGGAGCUAAUGGGCUUCACCAGAAGACAACCUGAGCUGUUGGGCCAUGGACUUCAAGCUGGCGUGGUUACCACAGAGUUCCCCUACGAUACAGCAUUUCAUGAAGGGUGACCUUCCUGACAUACAACACCAGUUUCACACCUGGCACACAGCAGAAGGUCAGUACAAUAAAGUGUAUAUAUAAUAUAAUAACAGGACUCAGAGGAAGACAUGAGGGGGUACGACCACACUAGGCCGUCUCAAAACAACCUGCGUCCACACAGCGUUUCCAGGUGGUUUUAGCAGAGAGCUCUGUCCACAGUGAAUCACCUGAACAACGGAAAAACAGGCAAAUCUCUUCUUCUUCAAACCACAACAAAACUGCAUGACAGGCAGCCAGCUGAUAACAUCUGGAUUUCAUGGUCAUCUGACAGAAUCAGCAUAAAUACGGGAUAACGGCAACAGCUGUGUGAUCGCACAAACUGGCAGUUAAAAGUAUCGAUCACGGAGGAAGUUAGAGGGGAGACGGAAAGUUAGUUCUUCACUUCGCGGCCACGGUCUGCUCGUCUGCUGAGAGUUAAACCGGGGAUCAGUCUCCUCCUCCUCUGUCGUCACCUCAGCGGGUUUCACUGCAGCUCAGUUCAACAUACAGCUGUUCUCAUUUACAGAUGUUUCUGUUUCUGUGGUCGGACACUGAGCCAGGACCCAACAAUCUCAUCUCAGAACCAUUACAUGUAAACCUGCAGUCGUUCCCAACCCGCUGCUGCUGAGAAACUCAUAGUUUUAGAAUCGCGGCAUUAUGCGAUAACAUCACAUGAAUCCAGGUUUUAAUGAAAACAGCACAGGAAUUUAAAACGAUCCAUGACCGAGAAAGUCAGAGGACUGAAAGUCGCCUUCUUGACUUCACUGUCACACGGCUCCGACCCUCACUGAGCAGCCACAGACGGACUAAAUGCACUUCCUGUGUUGUCACAUGGAAAUUUCUUUGAAGCAGAUGUAGUCCAUCUAGCAGAGAACCUUAAUUUACAAAUAACCGUCUUUACUUUCUAUUACUUCUUCCUUUCGAUCAGCGUUUCAUCAAACUUGUCUGUUUCCAUUCUAUUUCAAAUUAUUAGUUAGGUGACGUUAUCAAUAAAUCUGAUUAGUGUGGAAUGACAUCCGGCAUCUGUCUUUUU